UACGAAGGGGGCGAGCGUUGUUCGGAAUUACUGGGCGUAAAGGGUGUGUAGGCGGUUAUAUAAGAUAGUGGUGAAAUGCCAGAGCUUAACUUUGGAAUUGCCAUAAUGACUGUAUAGCUAGAGUGAUGUAGAGGAUAGCGGAAUACCCAGUGUAGAGGUGAAAUUCGUAGAUAUUGGGUAGAACACCGGAGGCGAAGGCGGCUAUCUGGGCAUAAACUGACGCUGAGGCACGAAAGCAUGGGGAUCAAAC
This 250-nucleotide ribosomal RNA is filed under the name uncultured prokaryote. RNAcentral describes it as "partial 16S ribosomal RNA". It matches the Rfam family "Bacterial small subunit ribosomal RNA", at positions 524 to 773 of the family's 1533-position model. The record is from RNAcentral.